ACCACACAAAAUCAAAAAAAGGAGCAUAGCAGAAUAUGUGAUGCUCAGGGCGGCUUGCACUAUCUAAUUUCUCAGGCCCCCGAAUAUAUUUAUAUGUACUCUAUGUUAGGGUUAACAUUGAAUGAAGAAUAGGGCCAAAUUGGAGAAACAAAGUUCAUUGGAGAUUUGACGGUGGACUGACGAUAGUAAAUAUAAUUGAUUUGAAGUCUUGGCCAACCAUUCAUUUAUAGGUGCGUGCUUGAAAUGCCAAUUUUCACUGAUGGAUUCCAAGAUUUUGAAGAACUAGAGGUUUGUAAGGAAACACACGAAAUAGAGUGGGAAAAUUUCUAUAGAAGAACAUAUGUUUUCAGACUUUGACAGCUAUAUAUAGCAACUUCUUUUCAUGAGCCACAACCUUUGACAGAUUCUAUAUCUCGCUUUGUAUGGGUUAAGUUACUAAGUGACAUAAAUUUCUAGCCAAAACCAUGAGUAGAAAUGGUCAGAAGAGGUGGCCAUAGUUCCAACAUUUGAUGGUAGACAUGUUUAAUGGAGCCUUUCUUGAGGAACGCUGAACUUGUAUCUUUAUCAGAAUCAUACCAUCUGACAGACAUCAACAAAGCUUGGAGACUCUGAUGUGGAGAGCUAUCAAACAACUAUCACUUGAAGAUCAAGACAAGUAGAAUAUUAUCUUUAUUAUUAGGAUGUUAUAUGUUGAUGUUAUACAAUAACUAUUAGGAUGU
RNAcentral lists this long non-coding RNA (719 nucleotides) under Helianthus annuus (common sunflower). Lineage: Eukaryota; Viridiplantae; Streptophyta; Magnoliopsida; Asterales; Asteraceae. The record is from RNAcentral.